This 1458-nucleotide ribosomal RNA is filed under the name uncultured anaerobic ammonium-oxidizing bacterium. RNAcentral describes it as "bacterial SSU rRNA". It matches the Rfam family "Bacterial small subunit ribosomal RNA". The record is from RNAcentral.
GAACGAGGAUAUAUCCUUCGGGAUAUAAGCCGAGUGGCACAAGGGUGAGCAAUGCAUAGAUUACCUACCUUUAGGAUAAGGGCAACUUUGUGAAAACGGAGCUAAUACUUAAUAAUACAAAAGAAAAUAAUUUUCUUUUGUCAAAGGGAGGGUAGCAAUACCUUUCGCCUAGAGAGGGGUUUAUGUCCUAUCAGCUUGUUGGUGGGGUAAUAGCCCACCAAGGCGAAGACGGGUAGCCGGUUUAAGAGGAUGGUCGGCCACACUGGGACUGAGACACUGCCCAGACUUCUACGGAAGGCUGCAGUCGAGAAUCUUUCGCAAUGCCCGAAAGGGUGACGAAGCGACGCCGCGUGGGUGAAGAAGGCCUUCGGGUUGUAAAGCCCUGUCAGGAGUUAUGAAAUGUAAGUGCGCUAAUAUCGUGCUUAUUUGACAAAGGCUCCAAAGGAAGCCACGGCUAACUCUGUGCCAGCAGCCGCGGUAAUACAGAGGUGGCGAGCGUUGUUCGGAAUUAUUGGGCGUAAAGAGCACGUAGGUGGGUUUGCAAGUCAGAUGUGAAAGCCUUCUGUUCAACGGAAGAAUUGCAUCUGAAACUGCUAAUCUUGAGUAUAGGAGGGGAGAAUGGAACUUCUGGUGGAGCGGUGAAAUGCGUAGAUAUCAGAAGGAACGCCGGCGGCGAAAGCGAUUCUCUGGCCUAUUACUGACACUCAGUGUGCGAAAGCUAGGGGAGCAAACGGGAUUAGAUACCCCGGUAGUCCUAGCCGUAAACGAUGGGCACUAAGUAGAGGGAAUUACCUAUAUUCUCUCUGCCGUAGCUAACGCAUUAAGUGCCCCGCCUGGGGAGUACGGCCGCAAGGCUAAAACUCAAAAGAAUUGACGGGGGCUCGCACAAGCGGUGGAGCAUGUGGCUUAAUUCGAUGCAACGCGAAAAACCUUACCGGGGCUUGACAUGAUAGAAGUAGGAACCUGAAAGGGGGACGAACGGUAUCCAGUCCGUAGCUAUCACAGGUGUUGCAUGGCUGUCGUCAGCUCGUGUCGUGAGACGUUGGGUUAAGUCCCCUAACGAGCGAAACCCUUGUUUUUAGUUACCAGCGGGUUAUGCCGGGUACUCUAGAAAGACUGCCGUCGUCAAGACGGAGGAAGGUGGGGAUGACGUCAGGUCAUCAUGGCCCUUAUGCCCCGGGCUGCACACGUGCUACAAUGGUCGGUACAGACGGAAGCGAAGCCGAGAGGUGAAGCGAAUCCUAAAAAGCCGAUCUCAGUUCGGAUUGGAGGCUGAAAUUCGCCUCCAUGAAGUUGGAACCGCUAGUAAUCGCGGAUCAGCAAUGUCGCGGUGAAUAUGUUCCCGAGCCUUGUACACACCGCCCGUCAAGCCACCCAAGCAGGAUGCACCCGAAAACAUUAUAUCUAACCAGGGCAACUUGGAGGAAAAUGUUGAAGGAGUGUUUUGUGAGGAGGACU